GGCGGACAAAGGGGAAGCCCGUAUCGACCGGGGCUGUACCGGAGCUAACGCGUUAAGUUUCCCGCCUGGGGAGUACGCACGCAAGUGUGAAACUCAAAGGAAUUGACGGGGGCCCGCACAAGCGGUGGAGUAUGUGGUUUAAUUCGAUGCAACGCGAAGAACCUUACCAGGGCAAGACAACUUCGGGAGGCUGGGGAAACUCAGUUGUGCCCUUAGGGGAACCGGAGAGCAGGUGGUGCAUGGCUGUCGUCAGCUCGUGUCGUGAGAUGUUGGGUUAAGUCCCGCAACGAGCGCAACCCUCGUGCUUAGUUGCCAGUCCCGAAAGGGAGGCACUCUAAGGAGACUGCCGGUGACAAACCGGAGGAAGGUGGGGAUGACGUCAAGUCAGCAUGCCCCUUACGUCCUGGGCGACACACGUACUACAAUGCGGCGGACAAAGGGCAGCGAGCCUGCGAGGGUGAGCCAAUCCCAGAAACUGCCGCUCAGUUCAAAUCGCUCUCUGCAACUCGAGAAGCGUGAAGGAGGAAAUCGCUAGUAAUUGAAAG
Molecule: ribosomal RNA, 545 nt
Filed under: Jacksonvillea sp. ISTCYN1
Lineage: Bacteria; Bacillati; Cyanobacteriota; Cyanophyceae; Desertifilales; Desertifilaceae
Description: bacterial SSU rRNA
Rfam family: Bacterial small subunit ribosomal RNA
Source: RNAcentral